This 529-nucleotide ribosomal RNA is filed under the name Snodgrassella alvi. RNAcentral describes it as "bacterial SSU rRNA". It matches the Rfam family "Bacterial small subunit ribosomal RNA", at positions 1 to 516 of the family's 1533-position model. Lineage: Bacteria; Pseudomonadati; Pseudomonadota; Betaproteobacteria; Neisseriales; Neisseriaceae. The record is from RNAcentral.
AGAUUAAACAUAAGAGUUUGAUCCUGGCUCAGAUUGAACGCUGGCGGCAUGCUUUACACAUGCAAGUCGAACGGCAGCACGGAGAGCUUGCUCUCUGGUGGCGAGUGGCGAACGGGUGAGUAAUGCAUCGGAACGUACCGAGUAAUGGGGGAUAACUGUCCGAAAGGAUGGCUAAUACCGCAUACGCCCUGAGGGGGAAAGCGGGGGAUCUUAGGACCUCGCGUUAUUUGAGCGGCCGAUGUUGGAUUAGCUAGUUGGUGGGGUAAAGGCCUACCAAGGCGACGAUCCAUAGCGGGUCUGAGAGGAUGAUCCGCCACAUUGGGACUGAGACACGGCCCAAACUCCUACGGGAGGCAGCAGUGGGGAAUUUUGGACAAUGGGGGGAACCCUGAUCCAGCCAUGCCGCGUGUCUGAAGAAGGCCUUCGGGUUGUAAAGGACUUUUGUUAGGGAAGAAAAGCCGGGUGCUAAUACCACCUGGUGCUGACGGUACCUAAAGAAUAAGCACCGGCUAACUACGUGCCAGCAGCC